GUUCCUGGCUCAGGACGAACGCUGGCGGCGCGCCUAACACAUGCAAGUCGAACGAGCGAGAGAGAGCUUGCUUUCUCGAGCGAGUGGCGAACGGGUGAGUAAUGCGUGAGGAACCUGCCUCAAAGAGGGGGACAACAGUUGGAAACGACUGCUAAUACCGCAUAAGCCCACGGUGCCGCAUGGCACAGAGGGAAAAGGAGCAAUCCGCUUUGAGAUGGCCUCGCGUCCGAUUAG
This 234-nucleotide ribosomal RNA is filed under the name uncultured bacterium. RNAcentral describes it as "partial 16S ribosomal RNA". It matches the Rfam family "Bacterial small subunit ribosomal RNA", at positions 15 to 244 of the family's 1533-position model. The record is from RNAcentral.